Hevea brasiliensis (rubber tree) is the source of this 1861-nucleotide RNA transcript. It is a transcript of the gene named probable plastid-lipid-associated protein 13, chloroplastic, with no coding region annotated. The record is from RefSeq and is a predicted model, not a curated record. NCBI's taxonomy places the organism in Eukaryota, Viridiplantae, Streptophyta, Magnoliopsida, Malpighiales, Euphorbiaceae. The transcript has 8 exons.
UACAAAAGAGAGCCUGGAGAGAAAUGAACGGUUUUGGCUGGAAAAUACCUGCAAUUUCUUUGUUUUUGGAAUGGCUUUGAUACAAGCCUCACUUCUCGCAAAUCCUGCAAUUGAUUCCCACUUUUCUUCGUUGUCUUUCACUUCUAUUCAUGCCACUACAUCUCUCGUCUCCUUCCCUCGACCGCCGGAGAUUCGCCGGAGCAACCGGAAAAUGGCCUGCACAGCCAUGGUUCAGCAGGUGUUACAGGGAGCUCCGGCUACCUAUGCAAAGGAAAUGGAACGGCUUUCUGCUAAGGAAUCGUUGCUUCUCGCUUUUAAAGACUCUGGGAGUUUUGAAGCUCUAGUGACGGGGAAGACGACAGAUAUGCAGAGGAUUGAUGUGAAUGAGAGGAUAACUGGUCUUGAGCGGCUCAAUCCAACGCCUAGACCAACUACGUCGCCAUUUUUGGAAGGCCAAUGGAAUUUCGAGUGGUUUGGAUCUGGAAGCCCGGGAUUCUUAGCUGCUAGAUUUAUAUUGGAGAGAUUUCCUUCGAAUUUGGCUAAUUUAUCAAAGAUGGAUGUGCUGAUUAAAGAUGCAAAUGCAAAGAUUACUGCAACGAUGAAACUACUGUCCUCGAUAGAAAGCAAAUUUAUUCUUUCCACAAGGUUAUCUGUGGAGGGACCUCUUAGAAUGAGAGAGGAAUAUGUUGAAGGAAUUCUUGAGAUGCCUAAAAUCAUGGAAGAAACUGUACCAGAACAGCUAAAAGGUGCAUUUGGCCAGGCUGUUAGCACGGUGCAACAACUUCCGGUUCCCAUUAGGGAUGCUGUCUCCAGAGGAUUAAAAGUUCCCCUAUAUGUCAAAAUUGGAAUUAGGGCGUCAAAGCUAGCAGAGAAGGGUUUUGCCAAAAAUUGAUGACGUGGCGCCGUCAGAUGAUGUGUACUGUGGCGUUGCAUCUGCCAUCGUAGUGUCGGAUCAGGUGUAGACAGGUGCAACACAUUAGCAUGACCUUAGCUGGGGUUAUGGUCAGAUCAGACCCAACUCGGAGCUUGAGGGUGCGUGGGUAUUUUGACUCGCAAUUCAUCAAAGGCAACACACCGAUCAGCAUGUGGCGAACCUGUGGGGAGGUGUCGAAGUCAGAAUCAAGGCCGACAGUGAUUCGGGUCAAAACCUAACCUGAAUGGAACUUGGUUUCUCGGCAGCCUCUGGUGGCUAGAUUUACAGGAUCUUGUGGUGUUGGGUGUUUGAUUAAUGUGGCAGUGCAGCGGUAUGAGGAAGGGAUGAUGGUGGACAUUGGAGAUUUUUUUUAAACGAUGAGAAAGAAAAGUAAGCAAGGGAAGAAAACUCACGAAAGAAGCCCAAAAAAAAAUAAAAAAUCAGACUGGUCUGUAGCUAAUCUUUCCAAGGCAAAUGGAUCAAAGUGCUUUGAUACCAAAUUGAUGUAGAACCAAGAACAAUUAAAGUCGGUUCUUUCCAGAGGCUCUUCAUGAUUUCUUAUCUCGAUGAGGGGAUACUUAAAUGAAGGGCUUUCACCAUCAGGCAUCAGCUAUAGAAGAUUAGAAUAAAUUAUUGAUGACAGUUCAGCGUGAAGUGUGAAUAUUUAGGACUCAGAUGUUCUGUGAUGGUCCAUUAAUAUUUGCUUUGCUUUAAUGCUGAUUAGAGUCUCACCGCUGCUUCUCAAAGGGCUUGGUUGUUUUGCGUCACUCGGGAAAGGCAAGUUGAUUUGCAUUUUAUUAAUCAUCUUGAAAUUGAGUUUUUAACUGUCUUCCAAAAUGUUAAUCUCAAUUUUCUAACUUGUGACUUUAACAUUAUGUUUGGAUCACGGUUUAUGUUAUAUUGUAUGGUAUGGUUACUUUACAUGUAUUGAAAUAUUAUUCUUAAAAA